Molecule: non-coding RNA, 115 nt
Organism: Triticum urartu
Lineage: Eukaryota; Viridiplantae; Streptophyta; Magnoliopsida; Poales; Poaceae
Source: Rfam
UAACUACUCCCUCCAUUCAGAAAUACUUGUCCUAGAAAUAGUUGUAUCUAUACUUGUUUUAGUUCUAGAUACAACCAAUUCUAAUACAAGUAUUUCCGAACAGAGGGAGUAUUAG